This 1312-nucleotide long non-coding RNA is filed under the name Brassica napus (rape). RNAcentral's name for it is "long non-coding RNA (BNAP_LNC007864)". The record is from RNAcentral. Lineage: Eukaryota; Viridiplantae; Streptophyta; Magnoliopsida; Brassicales; Brassicaceae.
AGAUUCAUCCUGGUUUGAUUGGAACGACGAAGAAACUGUGCUAUUCCCAAACUGGGAAACUGGAAUCACCUGCUUUGAAAGUGGGAUAACUUCUUCAUCCCAACUCCUAUGAGAUUUAUUCAACUUCCUGGUGAUUCUACACCACCUUAUGUAUCCAAAUCAAGCUUCUCACAAAGUGAUUCAUCCUGGUUUGAUUGGAACGACGAAGAAGCUGUGCUAUUCCCAAACUAGGAACCUGGAAUCACCUGAUUUGAAAGUGGGAUAACUUCUUCUUGCCAACUCCUAUGAGAUUUAUUCAACUUCCUGGUGAUUCUCCACCACUUUAUGUAUCCAAAUAAAGCUUCUCACAAAGUGAGUCAUCCUGGUUUGAUUGGAACGACGAAGAAGCUGUCCAAUUCCCAAACUGGGAAACUGGAAUCACGUGAUUUGAAAGUGCGAUAACUUCUUCAUCUCAACUCCUAUGAGAUUUAUUCAACUUCCUGGUCAUUCUCCACCACUUUAUGUAUCCAAACCAAGCUUCUCACAAAGUGAUUCAUCCUGGUUUGAUUGGAACGACGAAGAAGCUGUGCAAUUCCCAAACUGGGAAACUGGAAUCACCUGAUUUGAAAGUGGGAUAACUUCUUCAUCCCAACUCCUAUGAGAUUUAUUCAACUUCCUGGUCAUUCUCCACCACUUUAUGUAUCCAAAUCAAGCUUCUCACAAAGAGAUUCAUCCUGGUUUGAUUGGAACGACGAUGAAGCUAUCCUAUUCCCAAACUGGGAAACUGGAAUCACCUGAUUUGAAAGUGGGAUAACUUCUUCUUGCCAACUCCUAUGAGAUUUAUUCAACUUCCUGGUGAUUUUCCACCACUUUAUGUAUCCAUAUCAAGCUUCUCACAAAGUGAUUCAUCCUGGUUUUAUUGGAACGACGAUGAAGCUGUGCUAUUCCCAAACUUGGAAACUGGAAUCACCUGAUUUGUAUUAGAUUUGGUGAUUUAAAGAGUGAUUAAGUCUAAUCUGAGAAUUAAAGAGAUUGGAGAUUAAGAACAAGAGAGAGACUUAAGAGAGAGAGACUCAAAACUCCAUUAAUUAAUACUGAUGAGGGUUUACAAGUAUAUAAAGAGAGAGCAACAAGGAAUUUCGAAAUGUAUAAGCAUGUGUAGUCAAAGGACAGGCUGGAACUCCUUUUGAAUCACUUGGCUGUGCUUUCUCACAUGCUUGCACUAGUAGAAAAGCAUCCUAUCCUUUCCAGCAUCAUACAGGCUGUCAAAGUGCUCCCUUAUCCUUCCUUAUCCUCUUUGGUCGAGUUUACUCUCUUCCCUUCACUAAGUUAC